UUUUUGAUCUCGUUCAGUUCUUUUCUGCAUGAGGCUCUGUGGGCUGCUGGCAAGGCCCAAAGUAAGGAAGGUUGUCCCAGUGUCCGUGCUCAUGUCAAUAGUUUAAUUUAUUUGGCUUUUCUAGGAGCAGAUGUCGUGGAGGACCUUGGUGCUGUUUUCACUGGCCUCCUGCACUCUCCGAGAGAACCCCUUGCUCCCUGCGUGACGUUCCAGCUCUGUGACAAAGGUCCCGAGUCCCUGAAAGCUGCUAAGUAUCCUCAGCUCUACCAGUUUAACUGAUACUAUAGACUCUGGAUGCCCAAGCAGUCCCAGGAGCCUGUGGUAUGGAAUCCCUGAAGUCACUGAAUUCUUGAGCCAGUAUUCCUGUAAAAUCCUCGUAGUCGACAGAGGUUACAUUUCCAUCAGAAACAGCGUUUUUAUUGAGGAGUUUGAAAACCACAAGGAGGUAAGCCAAGAGCCUCCUGUGGCACCGGAUUCUGUAUUUGCCACUUUGCUGAAGGGAGCCUGGGAGAGAGGAAGCAGUACCUUCCUGGAAGAUGGUGUUCAGACAAAGUGGAGAGACUUGGCUUCCUGGCUCCCCCCACCUGAGCAGCUUUUGCUGGGAGUAAAGCACGUGCUGCUGUACCCGAAAUCCACAGUGGAGAACUUCAGCAGAUAAUACUGUAGUUAUGCUUGUUUUACUUUGUGGCACAAGUUACAAAUGACUUGGCUGCUAAAACUUAGGUUCCAGUUCUUUUUCCUCGACUCAGCUCCAAGGGUACGCAGCACCGUACAAAACUGCACCUAAUUUGUAAACAAACGUCAUUUGUUCUGAUUAUUGAAGCCGGGCUUUAUUCAGUUGAAUCCCGAGUGUGUGCUGCGCCCAGGUCCUUUGUACAAAUAGGGUAUGGAGGGUGGGGGAACCAGAACUGCACAUUCCUUGUGAUAUGUAUGGGAUUUUGGGGGGGUUAAAUAAAAAGGAGAUGCAAAAUGAGGGAA
Molecule: non-coding RNA, 978 nt
Organism: Lonchura striata (white-rumped munia)
Lineage: Eukaryota; Metazoa; Chordata; Aves; Passeriformes; Estrildidae
Source: RefSeq, a predicted model, not a curated record